CAGCACCUCAAGUGGUCAGGAUGAUUAUUGGGCCUAAAGCAUCCGUAGCCGGCGCUGUAAGUUUUCGGUUAAAUCUGUACGCUCAACGUACAGGCUGCCGGGAAUACUGCAGCGCUAGGGAGUGGGAGAGGUAGACGGUACUCGGUAGGAAGGGGUAAAAUCCUUUGAUCUAUUGAUGACCACCUGUGGCGAAGGCGGUCUACCAGAACACGUCCGACGGUGAGGGAUGAAAGCUGGGGGCGCAAACCGGAUUAGAUACCCGAGUAGUCC
This 270-nucleotide ribosomal RNA is filed under the name uncultured archaeon. RNAcentral describes it as "partial 16S ribosomal RNA". It matches the Rfam family "Archaeal small subunit ribosomal RNA", at positions 477 to 747 of the family's 1478-position model. The record is from RNAcentral.